RNAcentral lists this unclassified non-coding RNA (329 nucleotides) under Homo sapiens (human). RNAcentral's name for it is "long intergenic non-protein coding RNA 1237 (ENSG00000280686.2)". The record is from RNAcentral. Lineage: Eukaryota; Metazoa; Chordata; Mammalia; Primates; Hominidae.
CUUCCUUUUUCUCUGUGCAUCCUCAGUGACGCGGGGCACAGCUCUGCCCGGGGGCCUACCAGAGCCCACCUGGACCCCACACUGGGUCAGCCCUGGUGCGGAGGAGGCCGCUGUAGGCGCGGCCAGGUCACAGUCGGCACCAGAAGUUUGGCAGAUCUCAGUGAGGCGUUAGUUUGCAUUUCCUUGUGACGGAGUCUCACUCUGUUGCCAGGCUGGAGUACAAUGGUGCCAUCUUGACUCACUGUAACCUCCGCCUCCCGGGUUCAAGCUAUUCUCCUGCCUCAGCUUCCUGAGUAGCUGGUACUACAGGCGUGUGCCACCAUGCCCAG